GUCAGAUCCUCCUGCCGGUUUUCCUCUCCCUAGCUCUCAUCCAGCUGAUCAUCAGCUUCUCUGACCAGAAGACUAAAUCCCACCAGCACUGGAAGCGGAAAAUCGAAGCAAAACACGCAGGACAUGAAUGUGCGCAAAAGCAGACGUGUCCACUGUGUACUCAAGAUAAGAGAGUAAGUUAAUUUUCUUAUGAAGAAAACUCUGGGAAUAUUAUAAACUCUCCCAUUUACAGCUGUCAUCUCAAAGAUAUGCUACGUUUUGUUUUCCACACUUUUAAUAGGAAGAAUGGAAUAAUUCAGUACAAACAUGUACUCCCAUCUGGGAAAUUACACAUCAAAAA
Molecule: long non-coding RNA, 340 nt
Filed under: Rattus norvegicus (Norway rat)
Lineage: Eukaryota; Metazoa; Chordata; Mammalia; Rodentia; Muridae
Description: long non-coding RNA NONRATT020201
Source: RNAcentral